Dreissena polymorpha is the source of this 2945-nucleotide long non-coding RNA. RefSeq lists it as uncharacterized. The record is from RefSeq and is a predicted model, not a curated record. The transcript is spliced from 2 exons. Lineage: Eukaryota; Metazoa; Mollusca; Bivalvia; Myida; Dreissenidae.
UUGAACUGUCUGUCAGUAUGUCAGUCAGUCUGUCCUUCAGUCCGAAAAAAACAUUAACAUUGGCCAUAACUUUUUCACUUUUUAAGAUAGCAACUUGAUAUUUGGCAUACAUGUGUAUCUCAUGGAGCUGCACAUUUUGAGUGGUGAAAGGUCAAGGUCAUCCUUCAAGGUCAAAUGUCAAAUUUAUGGUGUCUGUCCGUCCGAAAACUUUAACAUUGGCCAUAACUUUUUCAAUAUUGAAGAUAGCAACUUGAUAUUUGGCAUGCAUGUGUAUCUCAUGGAGCUGUACAUUUUGAGUGGUGAAAGGUGAAGGCCAUCCUUCAAAGUCAAAUGUCAAAUAUAUGGUGUCUGUCCAUCUGAAAACUUUAACAUUGGCCAUAACUUUUUAAAUAUUGAAGAUAGCAACUUUAUAUUUGGCAUGCAUGUGUAUCUCAUGAAGCUGCACAUUUUGAGUGGUGGAAGUUCAAGGUCAUCCUUCAAGGUCAAGGGCAUCCUUCUAGGUCAAAGUAAAAAUAAAAAAUAAAAAUUCAAAGUGGCGCAAUAGGGGGCAUUGUGUUUCUGACAAACACAUCUCUUGUUUUUAUCAAACAUUGUUAAAAACACAAAUAUUUAUAUUAUUAUUAUAUUUUUGAAAUACCGUCCAACCAUCCCACCCAAGAACUCCACUCCCCCCCAAAAAAGUAAUGUUUUUUUUUGCAUUUUUAACCAGGUUUUCCGAAGGAAAAAACUGGUUAUUAGAUUGGCGAAUGCGGGCGGGCUAGCUGGCUGGCUGGCGGGCUGGCAGAAUAAGCUUGUCCGGGCCAUAACUAUGUCGUUCAUUGUCAGAUUUUAAAAUCAUUUGGCACAUUUGUUCACCAUCAUUGGACGGUGUGUCGCGCGAAAUAAUUACGUCGAUAUCUCCAAGGUCAAGGUCACACUUUGAGUUCAAAGGUCAAAAAUGGCCAUAAAUGAGCUUGUCCUGGCCAUAACUAUGUCAUUCAUUGUGAGAUUUUAAAAUCAUUUGGCACAUUUGUUCACCAUCAUGGGACGGUGUGUCCCACGAAAGAAUCACGUCAAUAUCUCCAAUGUCAAGGUCGCCACGACUAAAAAUAGAUUUAAAAAAAAAAAAAAAAAUUACAAAGGGGGUUAAUUUUUUUUGGUCAUUUCAAAAGUUCAGUUUGAGUUUUCUCCCUUUAUCAGAUUUUUUUUUCACAAUGAAAACCUGGUUUUGUGACAAUUUUGUCCCUUGUUGAAAGAUAAUCUAAUAAAUGACCACACCCCCACACUAAACACCCCUCACCACUCCACCCCUCCGUCCUUUGUGAUUGAAAUUAGGUCCCUACACCUUUAAAAAGAAAAAUAGAUGAGCGGUCUGCACCCGCAAGGCGGUGCUCUUGUUUAAACCUUGUGAGCGCCCUAGGGCUUUUGGCCUUCCUUUUUUCAUUGACAUGCUUUUGAGGAUUCAUGUUUUUAGUAAUUAGAUUUAAAACUUAUUACUAAUACUUCCUUAUUAGUUAUAGAUAACUGAAAAUUUUGCAGCACCAAAAGAGAAGCCUUCAACAAUUGUUUGAGACUGAACUAUAUUUUACUAGAAAAAGCUUUAAAAGCUCAUUUUGUUCAUAUUGCAAUUUAAUGUGCAAAAAAAAUUAUUGUAAAAAAAUAAUGGAAUCUGUAAAUGAAAAUAAUAUGUAAAAUAAACCAUAGCAUAUACUAUUUUGUACUAUAAAAUAAAAUAUUAAAUUAUAAUACAAAUGAAUGGAAUGAACGAUUGAAGUCAGUUUUUCUUAACACAGUUGGCACACUUUAAAAGGUAAGUGUCAGUUCAUUCACAUUUUGCCAGUACAAUCAAAAGAAGUUCCUUCUAAAUCCAUCUCCUUGAAUGUGCUGUUCCUGAUUCUUUUAAGGGCAAAGUGUUUCUUAUGUGACUAUAGCAGUAUGAGUAAGAAUGAUGGUAUAGCAUUUGAACUUUGAAACAUUCCGUCAACACUACUUAACAUAAACAACAGAUAUUGGAUUAAAACUAUGAAGUAAAGUUGAGAAGAGGUUUUAUCAUAAAAUAGAUGUUGUUGAAAAAGUAAGCCAAUAUCAAAUGUAAGAACACAUUCUUAUAAAUAAAUUCAAAUGAAGGCUUCUUCGUUUAUGAAAGAAAAAUGGUUGCUCUGUUGGUCAUUCCAUGUUAAUUCAUUGAGUUCAAAUUAUGUAACUUAAAAAAGCUCAAAUGAAGUUCAUGGCUUACUUUCAGUAUGUAUUUACCAUUUGCAUUAGGUUACUUAUUUAUAAGAAAGUUAAACAAAGAUUCAGGCAAGUGGGUAAUUGUGAAUAUUGGUUGUUAAUACUUAUUUUAUGAAUCAAAAUCAUAUAUUUUGUAACCACUCUUCUUGUUUUGGUGAUGGCCAGAUAAAAAGAGCUCUGGGAAAACAGGGCUUAAUGCAUGUGCUGAAAGUGUUGUCAGGAGAUUAGCCUGUGCAGUCCUCACAGGCUAAUCAGGGAAGUCUCUUUCUGCCUAGACUGGAUUUUCAGUUUGAUUAGACUUCCUUUCAAGGAAACAUUCCAUUAAAGCAGAAAGUGCUGUUCCUGAUUAGCCUGUGGGGAUUGCAGAGGCAAAUCGAGAAAACACUUUACGCCCAUGCAUUAAGCCCAUUUUUCACAGAAUGGGGCUCAAAUACUCAAAAAAUAAGAUCAUACAUGUGGAACAUGCAUAUUCUGUCUAUAAAAGACAUCAAAGUACUUACCUUAUGAAGACAUCAAAGUACUUACCUUAUGAACUUGUUGUGGUUUUAUUACAAGUGUGUUCAAAGUUGUAUUGUGUGCAAGACUAACAUGUUCUCUGUUGUAACUUUUAAGAUUGCAAAGUAUUUCUGCAUUACUGACUAGUGUAAAUAAAUGUUGCCUCAUGUUUUGUUGAUUCAUCUUGAAAUGUCUAAUCCAAUAUUCUGUCUGUGAAUAAAAUGUUUUCUGUACAUUUA